Molecule: long non-coding RNA, 447 nt
Organism: Haliotis rubra (blacklip abalone)
Lineage: Eukaryota; Metazoa; Mollusca; Gastropoda; Lepetellida; Haliotidae
Exons: 5
Source: RefSeq, a predicted model, not a curated record
GUGACCAAUAUUAUUCAAUCAGAGCGUUCGAUGCAGGGGUACACGGAUCUACCUUGGUACACACAACACGGGUGCUGUUCGUUAGAUUAAACAUUGACUAGAACGCUGGAUACGGAAUAGACGUUUCUUUUGCUUGAACAACCAUAAAACAACUAUCAACACGCUGGAUUCUGUAUCAAAGAAGGCAGGCAUACCUGUGAUAUCGCUAGCGGACCUACACAUGCAGUGUGGACAAACAGGUGGUGUUUCUGAACGUUCGAACGCCGCAGCAGACAACAGUGGAAAUAUGAUUCACAAUAACCAAACAGUAAACGCUUUUAAAAAGUGUAACAUCACUAUCUAUAACAAGGAGACAACAUCAGUUGUCAGAAGAGAGCAAGACAUACCAGUUGCUGACAGAUGUCCUGGUCCAAACCAAACGUCAAGUGGGGCUGUGGCAACGCCUCG